This 482-nucleotide ribosomal RNA is filed under the name uncultured bacterium. Its description in RNAcentral is "partial 16S ribosomal RNA". It matches the Rfam family "Bacterial small subunit ribosomal RNA", at positions 30 to 507 of the family's 1533-position model. The record is from RNAcentral.
AUUGAACGCUGGCGGCAUGCUUUACACAUGCAAGUCGAACGGUAACAGGCCGCAAGGUGCUGACGAGUGGCGAACGGGUGAGUAAUGCAUCGGAACGUGCCCAGUCGUGGGGGAUAACUACUCGAAAGAGUAGCUAAUACCUCAUACGAUCUAUGGAUGAAAGCGGGGGACCGUAAGGCCUCGCGCGAUUGGAGCGGCCGAUGUCAGAUUAGGUAGUUGGUGGGGUAAAGGCUCACCAAGCCAACGAUCUGUAGCUGGUCUGAGAGGACGACCAGCCACACUGGGACUGAGACACGGCCCAGACUCCUACGGGAGGCAGCAGUGGGGAAUUUUGGACAAUGGGCGCAAGCCUGAUCCAGCAAUGCCGCGUGAAGGAAGAAGGCCUUCGGGUUGUAAACUGCUUUUGUACGGAACGAAACGGCUCUGGUUAAUACCCGGGGCUAAUGACGGUACCGUAAGAAUAAGCACCGGCUAACUACGUG